Molecule: unclassified non-coding RNA, 300 nt
Filed under: uncultured Actinomycetes bacterium
Lineage: Bacteria; Bacillati; Actinomycetota; Actinomycetes
Description: uncultured actinobacterium contains 16S-23S intergenic spacer region
Source: RNAcentral
UCCGGUUUAUCACCGGCAGUCUCCACAGAGUCCUCGGCUUUACCCGUUAGCACCUGUGCUAGCCCCUUACGGACACGGGCUUUCACCCGCUUUAACUAGCAUGUCAAGCCUAGGUAAGGUUCUUCGCGUUGCAUCGAAUUAAGCCACAUGCUCCGCCGCUUGUGCGGGCCCCCGUCAAUUCCUUUGAGUUUUAGCCUUGCGGCCGUACUCCCCAGGCGGGGCGCUUAAUGCGUUAGCUGCGGCACGGAACCCAUGGAAUAGGCCCCACACCUAGCGCCCAACGUUUACGGUGUGGACUAC